RNAcentral lists this ribosomal RNA (584 nucleotides) under uncultured bacterium. Its description in RNAcentral is "bacterial SSU rRNA". It matches the Rfam family "Bacterial small subunit ribosomal RNA", at positions 338 to 915 of the family's 1533-position model. The record is from RNAcentral.
CCUACGGGAGGCAGCAGUAAGGAAUAUUGGUCAAUGGAGGCAACUCUGAACCAGCCAUGCCGCGUGCAGGAUGACGGCCCUAUGGGUUGUAAACUGCUUUUGUACCAGAGAAAACCUACUCACGUGUGAGUAGCUGAUAGUAUGGUAAGAAUAAGCAUCGGCUAACUUCGUGCCAGCAGCCGCGGUAAGACGAAGGAUGCAAGCGUUAUCCGGAUUCAUUGGGUUUAAAGGGUGCGUAGGCGGACUUGUAAGUCAGUGGUGAAAUCUCUUCGCUUAACGAAGAAACUGCCAUUGAUACUGCAGGUCUAGAGUAUAGAUGACGUUGGCGGAAUAUGACAUGUAGUGGUGAAAUACUUAGAUAUGUCAUAGAACACCGAUUGCGAAGGCAGCUAACGAAACUAUAACUGACGCUGAGGCACGAAAGUGCGGGGAUCAAACAGGAUUAGAUACCCUGGUAGUCCGCACCGUAAACGAUGAUUACUCGUUGUUGGUCGAUAUGACAGUCAGCGACCAAGCGAAAGCGAUAAGUUAAUUCCACCUUGGGGAGUACGCCGGCGACGGUGAAACUUCAAAUUGAAUUGAGG